CUUGGUCAUUUAGAGGAAGUAAAAGUCGUAACAAGGUUUCGUAGGUGAACUGCGGAAGGAUCAUUAUUGAUUGUGAAUUGUUGCCUUCAGUGCUGGCUCCGGCAAGUGCACGCUGGUGACUUCAAUCCAAUACCCUUGUGAACCAUUGGCCUCUUGCUAGCUUCGGCUGGUAGAGGAUAUUUACACCAACUCGAAUGUAAUGAAAUUAUUGUUGUGCGCAAGCACUAAUGUACAACUUUCAACAACGGAUCUCUUGGCUCUCGCAUCGAUGAAGAACGCAGCGAAAUGCGAUAAGUAAUGUGAAUUGCAGAAUUCAGUGAAUCAUCGAAUCUUUGAACGCACCUUGCACCCUUUGGCAUUCCGAAGGGUAUGCUCGUUUGAGUGUCAUUGUACUCUCACACUUCCAAUUCUUUGGAUUGGGAGCGGUGGACUUGGGCGGUGGCUGCUUUACUGUGGCUCACCUCAAAUGCAUUAGUGCAACCCUUGGUUAGACAUAGUACGGCGUGAUAAGUAUCUUCGCUGGCGCCUCACUUAGAGGGUGGCUGAUCAGGAGCUCUGUGCUUUCGAACUGUCUUCGGACAACAACUGACAACUUGACCUCAAAUCGAGUAGGACCACCCGCUGAACUUAAGCAUAUCAAUAAGCGGAGGA
This 651-nucleotide ribosomal RNA is filed under the name uncultured Sebacina. RNAcentral's name for it is "eukaryotic LSU rRNA". The stretch from base 234 to 387 matches the Rfam family "5.8S ribosomal RNA". Lineage: Eukaryota; Fungi; Basidiomycota; Agaricomycetes; Sebacinales; Sebacinaceae. The record is from RNAcentral.